This is an RNA transcript of Scylla paramamosain (green mud crab), 1523 nucleotides long. RefSeq lists it as uncharacterized. Lineage: Eukaryota; Metazoa; Arthropoda; Malacostraca; Decapoda; Portunidae. The transcript is spliced from 5 exons. The record is from RefSeq and is a predicted model, not a curated record.
AAAACAGUACCCAUUGCAGGACGGUUAUAUGAACUGGCAGCCAUUGUUGAUGUUGGCAUUGCUUGCUGGGGGUGGGAGAAUUCCACGAUUACAGCUCAAAUAGAAGGAGUGAGUGAGGCAGGAUGAGUUUGAUGGGUGCUUAGGCUGAGAGUCACGCCGCAGGGUCAGUGAGGGGUACGGCCGGCAGUAUGGUGACCCCUACGGCGGCGGCAGAAAGAAGAGGCACAGUGGUCAAGACAGAGGGACUGGGAAGGCAGACAGAAGAGGAGGAUGGACUGGGACGACCAGUACUAUGGGUCUGGCUGCGGCAUCCUACCCACCCCCCAGAUGCCCCCACGCUAACUGCCCUGGCGCGACCCUAACAUUGGCCCUGCACACUCCUGGGGUGUGGUGGGGGGCUUUGUACCAGGGCGGCCGGGGCAGGGGCAGGGUAGACCAACAGGACUGGGGUACAAGAUGAAGAAAACAUUGCUGGCUAAGAAGAAAAUAGGAGCUAAGGAGCUCCUCCCAGAACGAGCCCACACCUGCACCUGAGGACACACCCACACCCACACCUGCACCCAAGUCUGCACCCAAGCCUUCACCCACCCCCAGCACCCACUCCAGCACCCACUCCAGCACCCAGCACAGCCCAGGGGAAGGCCCAGGGCAGGCAGCCAAGGGCCGAGGCAGGGGCAGGGGUGUGGCUUGGGGGAGGAGAGUGUGAAGUGUGUGGGUUAGGUUUGUGUGUGGUAUUUUGUCUGGGCUGCUCCAUAUGUGGGAGAGCUCGGUUGGUGUAGAGAUGGAUAGAUAGAUGUGUGUGUGUGUGUGUGUGUGUGUGUGUGUGUGUGUGUGUGUGUGUGUGUGUGUGUGUGUGUGUGUGUGUGUGUGUGUGUGUGAGGGAUUUGUACUUCAUUCAAGCAUCUUUUAUUUUUACUACUGCUACUAUCUUGUUCACUACUGGAAGAUUAGUACUAAGAUGUGAUUCUUGUUAUUUUUAAGGGUAUUAUUCCAAUGUUUUUUGUAUGAUUGCAUCUCAUUCCUGUUGUACUUGAGAGAGAGAGAGAGAGAGAGAGAGAGAGAGAGAGAGAGAGAGAGAGAGAGAGAGAGAACAGGCCCCAUUGCUCAAACUAAUGAUAAAAAAAAAAACUCAACCAUUCCAAAAAGUAUAGAUAUAUUAGUUUUGUGAGUAGAAUUUGCCAGAAAGGAAAUUUGAAAUACAUGAGUGUGUGGGAGAGGCAAAGGAUAUGUACAGUAGGGCGGCAGAUUGGUGUGUGAAGGAUGUGUAGGAGAGGCUGAGGAUAUCCUGUACACUGUCAGGAUGGUUAAGAGUGAUUUGGAAGGAAGGUAGUGUGUGAAGGAUGCAUUAGGUAGGUUGUGUAGUAGUGGGUACAAUGUGUUAAGAAUGAUAUGUAUGUUACAGGAGAUAAGGAUGUGUAUUUUCACCACAAGUAUGUGUAGAGAUUGGUGUUAAGACAGUAGGAAGGUUUGAUUAAGCUGGACCAUCAUUCCUUGUGUUGUCUUAAUAAAUGUAUGCAAACUGA